RNAcentral lists this transfer-messenger RNA (368 nucleotides) under Atopobiaceae. RNAcentral's name for it is "UBA7748 sp900314535 Standard tmRNA". It matches the Rfam family "transfer-messenger RNA". From Rfam's summary of the family: Bacterial tmRNA, also known as 10Sa RNA or SsrA, is named for its dual tRNA and mRNA-like properties. Its role is to liberate the mRNA from a stalled ribosome. RNAcentral also lists the same sequence under 3 other names. The record is from RNAcentral. Lineage: Bacteria; Bacillati; Actinomycetota; Coriobacteriia; Coriobacteriales.
GGGGGUGACUGGUUUCGACAGGGCAGACCUGAGAUGGGCAGCAGGCCGUGGUCUCCUCGCCACGUUAAACAGGGGUACCGUCAAAUUGAAUUGACGACAACUCUUAUCAGGGCUCUUACGCCCUCGCUGCUUAACUUUUAGCUAGCAGCCGUCAAUCCGCAGCAUGCUCCCGACUGCGGUGCGGCGUCAUCUGAGGGAGCUGCACUUCCGGACGUAGCGGGUAUGCCGGAAGCCAAGAUUGAACCGGCUGGGAUGCCGAGCGCAGGCCGGCGCGCGUGAGGCAUCCGAGAUUCAAGCACUGGCUGAGCCUGGAGACACCUGUCAGGGGUUUGUUUUGGACCGGAGUUCGACUCUCCGCACCUCCACCA